Cercocebus atys (sooty mangabey) is the source of this 825-nucleotide long non-coding RNA. RefSeq lists it as uncharacterized. NCBI's taxonomy places the organism in Eukaryota, Metazoa, Chordata, Mammalia, Primates, Cercopithecidae. The transcript has 3 exons. The record is from RefSeq and is a predicted model, not a curated record.
GGUAUACUGUUGAUGUGGUUGAUAUUUCUGGUAUCCAAGAAGAAAUCUCCCGAGAUUCUACCUAACUUUUUGUAACUAAAGCAGCAUACAUACACAGGGGUGGGAAAAUGUCUAGACUGAUUCAACUAGCCUAUCAAAAAUCUUGGAUGCAGUUCUUUCUUGUGAAAAAGCAAGGGAACUUAAAAAAUAUCCCUGUGGGCUGGGCGCCUUGGCUCAGGCCUGUAAUCCCAUCACUUUGGGAGGCUGAGGCGGGCGGAUCAUGAGGUCAGGAGAUCAAGACCAUCUUGGCUAACACAGUGAAACCCCGUCUCUACUAAAAAUGUAAAAACGAAAUUAGUCAGGCGUGGUGGCGCGUGCCUGUAGUCCCAGCUACUCGGGAGGCUGAGGCAGGAGAAUGGCGUGAACCCAGAAGGCGAGGCUUGCCAGUUAGAGGAAAUCGCACCACUGCACUCCAGCCUGGCGACAGAGCGAGACUCUGUCAAAAAAAAAAAAAAAAAAAAAAAAGUCCCUGUGGGAACAGCUUUAGGCAAAAAUGAAACAAAUGAAAAAGAAGCUUUGUGUACUACAAAAGGAACGAUCAGAAGCAAAAGAAAUAAAAUCACAGAGAAUCAAAAAAUUAAAUGGAAACAAGAGCUCUGUAGGGUGAGAUUGACUUUAAACCAAGAAGAAGAGAAGAAAUGUCAAUAUAUUAAAUGAAAAAAUUAGGCAAGAAUUAGGAAGAAUCGAAGAGCAACGUAAGAAAAAGUUACAAGUGAAGCAACUUGAACUGGCUCUCCGAAUAUACAAAAUAUGAAAUUGAAGACUGUAAGAAGUAAUUUGAAUCAG